RNAcentral lists this unclassified non-coding RNA (562 nucleotides) under Hevea brasiliensis (rubber tree). The record is from RNAcentral. Lineage: Eukaryota; Viridiplantae; Streptophyta; Magnoliopsida; Malpighiales; Euphorbiaceae.
AGCCAUUGCCAUCUGAGGAAGAGCUCCGCGAUACCAUGGUAAUUGUGGUAUCUCUCUCGGAUACUUCGUUGUUCGAGUUGGAGCUUGAAAUUCUGCCUUGCUAUUCUUUCCUGCAAUUCCUCCCAAGACAAGCAAUGGUGAUGUCACAAGGGCCCAUAUGAGGAAAAUGACCACGAUGGUACCAAAAGGAAGUGCUGCAGUGGCAUGAUAACCAAUUGCAACAGAAUUAAGGAAGCAGAAAGUUAGAAGCAGUGGCCCACAGAACAGACCUCCUGUCAACAACAAGUUCCUUACCCAAUUUUUCCCUUCAAGUUGACAAUAGAAUGAUGCUGCAGUAUAGCCUGCAAUUCCUGAUGUAAGAGCAUAAAUAAUCACCAAAGCUGUGAAAAGAGCUCCUCGGUUGUAGGGGUAAAACACACCAACAAGCGCAAGUAUAAAUAUGAAAAUUGCCAGGGUAAACAACUGUGUGCCAGAACCCAGGGCUGCUGCAAAAAGUGACUUAUGCUUCGGGUACCUAAACACAUCACCAUGAAUGUACUUCCACCCAGUUUCUUCUUGGUCA